Cherax quadricarinatus is the source of this 307-nucleotide non-coding RNA. NCBI's taxonomy places the organism in Eukaryota, Metazoa, Arthropoda, Malacostraca, Decapoda, Parastacidae. The record is from RefSeq and is a predicted model, not a curated record.
GUUUAUUGCUCAAUCAUCAGGUUACCCUGCCAUGGUGGGAAACUGCCGAUGUGUUAAAAAAAAAAAAAAUAUCUUGAUCACUAGUUUCAAGUUGUGGCACAUCAUCUAACAUCAACUUUUCUGCUGUCAUCGACUGAAGAAAAGAUCAUGCACCAUACUUUACAGCACAGUGGCAAGAUAGUGUGUGUACCCUAAACAGAUAUUUUGUAAUGCAGCAAUACCUAUUUUUAUAGGUAUGACAAAUUGGAUCCUGAGGCAUUAUAUUGUAGUAUGGUAGGAGGAAAUGUGUUCGUCUCAAUGAAAAAAA